Molecule: ribosomal RNA, 492 nt
Filed under: uncultured bacterium
Lineage: Bacteria
Description: partial 16S ribosomal RNA
Rfam family: Bacterial small subunit ribosomal RNA
Source: RNAcentral
GACGAACGCUGGCGGCGUGCUUAACACAUGCAAGUCGAACGGUGAAGCGCCUUCCUUUUUGGUGGGUGUGGAUGAGUGGCGAACGGGUGAGUAACACGUGAGUAACCUGCCCCCUUCUUCUGGAUAACCGCAUGAAAGUGUGGCUAAUACGGGAUAUUCUGGGUCUGUCGCAUGAUGGGUCUGGGAAAGAUAUUGUUUCGGUGGGGAUGGGCUCGCGGCCUAUCAGCUUGUUGGUGGGGUGAUGGCCUACCAAGGCGGUGACGGGUAGCCGGCCUGAGAGGGUGGACGGUCACACUGGGACUGAGACACGGCCCAGACUCCUACGGGAGGCAGCAGUGGGGAAUAUUGCACAAUGGGCGCAAGCCUGAUGCAGCGACGCCGCGUGAGGGAUGGAGGCCUUCGGGUUGUGAACCUCUUUCGCCAGUGAAGCAGGCCUGCCUCGUUUGUGGGUGGGUUACGGUAGCUGGAUAAGAAGCGCCGGCUAACUACGUG